Molecule: ribosomal RNA, 402 nt
Filed under: uncultured Devosia sp.
Lineage: Bacteria; Pseudomonadati; Pseudomonadota; Alphaproteobacteria; Hyphomicrobiales; Devosiaceae
Description: bacterial SSU rRNA
Rfam family: Bacterial small subunit ribosomal RNA
Source: RNAcentral
UGGGGAAUAUUGGACAAUGGGCGAAAGCCUGAUCCAGCCAUGCCGCGUGAGUGAUGAAGGCCUUAGGGUUGUAAAGCUCUUUCAGUAGGGAAGAUAAUGACGGUACCUACAGAAGAAGCCCCGGCUAACUUCGUGCCAGCAGCCGCGGUAAUACGAAGGGGGCUAGCGUUGUUCGGAUUUACUGGGCGUAAAGCGCACGUAGGCGGAUUGUUAAGUCAGGGGUGAAAUCCUGGAGCUCAACUCCAGAACUGCCUUUGAUACUGGCAAUCUAGAGUCCGGAAGAGGUGAGUGGAACUCCUAGUGUAGAGGUGGAAUUCGUAGAUAUUAGGAAGAACACCAGUGGCGAAGGCGGCUCACUGGUCCGGUACUGACGCUGAGGUGCGAAAGCGUGGGGAGCAAACA